UUAAGUUAAUAAGGGCGCACGGUGGAUGCCUUGGCACUAGGAGCCGACGAAGGACGUGACAAACGACGAUAUGCCUUGGGUAGCUGUAAGUAAGCGAUGAUCCAGGGAUUUCCGAAUGGGGGAACCCAACAGGUAAUACCUGUUACCUACAUCUGUUAAGGAUGUGAGGAGGAAGACGCAGUGAACUGAAACAUCUAAGUAGCUGCAGGAAGAGAAAGCAAAAGCGAUUGCCUUAGUAGCGGCGAGCGAAACGGCAGAAGGGCAAACCGAAGAGUUUACUCUUCGGGGUUGUAGGACUGCAAUGUGGACUCAAAGAUUAUAGAAGAAUGAUUUGGGAAGAUCAGCCAAAGAGAGUAAUAGCCUCGUAUUUAAAAUAGUCUUUGUACUUAGCAGUAUCCUGAGUACGGCGGGACACGUGAAAUCCCGUCGGAAUCUGGGAGGACCAUCUCCCAACCCUAAAUACUCCCUAGUGACCGAUAGUGAACCAGUACCGUGAGGGAAAGGUGAAAAGCACCCCGGGAGGGGAGUGAAAUAGAACCUGAAACCGUGUGCCUACAACAAGUUCGAGCCCGUUAAUGGGUGAGAGCGUGCCUUUUGUAGAAUGAACCGGCGAGUUACGUUAUGAUGCGAGGUUAAGUUGAAGAGACGGAGCCGUAGGGAAACCGAGUCUGAAUAGGGCGCCUUAGUAUCAUGACGUAGACCCGAAACCAUGUGACCUACCCAUGAGCAGGUUGAAGGUGCGGUAAGACGCACUGGAGGACCGAACCAGGGCACGUUGAAAAGUGCUUGGAUGACUUGUGGGUAGCGGAGAAAUUCCAAACGAACUUGGAGAUAGCUGGUUCUCUCCGAAAUAGCUUUAGGGCUAGCGUCGACAUUAGAGAUUCUUGGAGGUAGAGCACUGUUUGGGUGAGGGGUCCAUCCCGGAUUACCAAUCUCAGAUAAACUCCGAAUGCCAAUGAAUUAUGGUCGGCAGUCAGACUGCGAGUGCUAAGAUCCGUAGUCGAAAGGGAAACAGCCCAGACCACCAGCUAAGGUCCCAAAAUAAUUGUUAAGUGGAAAAGGAUGUGGGGUUGCACAGACAACUAGGAUGUUAGCUUAGAAGCAGCUAUUCAUUCAAAGAGUGCGUAAUAGCUCACUAGUCGAGUGACCCUGCGCCGAAAAUGUACCGGGGCUAAAACAAUUUACCGAAGCUGUGGAUACCUUUAUAGGUAUGGUAGGAGAGCGUUCUAUGUGUGAUGAAGGUAUACCGUGAGGAGUGCUGGAACGCAUAGAAGUGAGAAUGCCGGUAUGAGUAGCGAAAGACAGGUGAGAAUCCUGUCCACCGUAAGACUAAGGUUUCCAGGGGAAGGCUCGUCCGCCCUGGGUUAGUCGGGACCUAAGGAGAGACCGAAAGGUGUAUCCGAUGGACAACAGGUUGAUAUUCCUGUACUAGAGUAUGUAGUGAUGGAGGGACGCAGUAGGCUAACUAAAGCAGACGAUUGGAAGAGUCUGUCUAAGCAGUGAGGUGUGAAUUGAGUCAAAUGCUUAAUUCUAUAACAUUGAGCUGUGAUGGGGAGCGAAGUUUAGUAGCGAAGUUAGUGACGUCACACUCUGCCAAGAAAAGCUUCUAGCGUUUAAACAUACUCUACCCGUACCGCAAACCGACACAGGUAGUCGAGGCGAGUAGCCUCAGGUGAGCGAGAGAACUCUCGUUAAGGAACUCGGCAAAAUGACCCCGUAACUUCGGGAGAAGGGGUGCUGACUUAAAGUCAGCCGCAGUGAAUAGGCCCAAGCAACUGUUUAUCAAAAACACAGCUCUCUGCUAAAUCGUAAGAUGAUGUAUAGGGGGUGACGCCUGCCCGGUGCUGGAAGGUUAAGAGGAGUGCUUAGCGUAAGCGAAGGUAUGAAUUGAAGCCCCAGUAAACGGCGGCCGUAACUAUAACGGUCCUAAGGUAGCGAAAUUCCUUGUCGGGUAAGUUCCGACCCGCACGAAAGGCGUAAUGAUUUGGGCACUGUCUCAACGAGAGACUCGGUGAAAUUUUAGUACCUGUGAAGAUGCAGGUUACCCGCGACAGGACGGAAAGACCCCAUGGAGCUUUACUGCAGUUUGAUAUUGAGUGUCUGUACCACAUGUACAGGAUAGGUAGGAGUCUAAGAGAUCGGGACGCCAGUUUCGAAGGAGACGCUGUUGGGAUACUACCCUUGUGUUAUGGCCACUCUAACCCAGAUAGGUGAUCCCUAUCGGAGACAGUGUCUGACGGGCAGUUUGACUGGGGCGGUCGCCUCCUAAAAGGUAACGGAGGCGCCCAAAGGUUCCCUCAGAAUGGUUGGAAAUCAUUCGCAGAGUGUAAAGGUAUAAGGGAGCUUGACUGCGAGAGCUACAACUCGAGCAGGGACGAAAGUCGGGCUUAGUGAUCCGGUGGUUCCGUAUGGAAGGGCCAUCGCUCAACGGAUAAAAGCUACCCUGGGGAUAACAGGCUUAUCUCCCCCAAGAGUUCACAUCGACGGGGAGGUUUGGCACCUCGAUGUCGGCUCGUCGCAUCCUGGGGCUGUAGUCGGUCCCAAGGGUUGGGCUGUUCGCCCAUUAAAGCGGCACGCGAGCUGGGUUCAGAACGUCGUGAGACAGUUCGGUCCCUAUCCGUCGCGGGCGUAGGAAAUUUGAGAGGAUCUGCUCCUAGUACGAGAGGACCAGAGUGGACUUACCGCUGGUGUACCAGUUGUCUUGCCAAAGGCAUCGCUGGGUAGCUAUGUAGGGAAGGGAUAAACGCUGAAAGCAUCUAAGUGUGAAACCCACCUCAAGAUGAGAUUUCCCAUGAUUAUAUAUCAGUAAGAGCCCUGAGAGAUGAUCAGGUAGAUAGGUUAGAAGUGGAAGUGUGGCGACACAUGUAGCGGACUAAUACUAAUAGCUCGAGGACUUAUCCAA
Molecule: ribosomal RNA, 2902 nt
Filed under: Streptococcus pneumoniae
Lineage: Bacteria; Bacillati; Bacillota; Bacilli; Lactobacillales; Streptococcaceae
Description: bacterial LSU rRNA
Rfam family: Bacterial large subunit ribosomal RNA
Source: RNAcentral